GAUUAACGCUGGCGGCGUGCCUAAUACAUGCAAGUCGAACGCUUUUUCUUUCACCGGAGCUUGCUCCACCGAAAGAAAAAGAGUGGCGAACGGGUGAGUAACACGUGGGUAACCUGCCCAUCAGAAGGGGAUAACACUUGGAAACAGGUGCUAAUACCGUAUAACACUAUUUUCCGCAUGGAAGAAAGUUGAAAGGCGCUUUUGCGUCACUGAUGGAUGGACCCGCGGUGCAUUAGCUAGUUGGUGAGGUAACGGCUCACCAAGGCAACGAUGCAUAGCCGACCUGAGAGGGUGAUCGGCCACACUGGGACUGGGACACGGCCCAGACUCCUACGGGAGGCAGCAGUAGGGAAUCUUCGGCAAUGGACGAAAGUCUGACCGAGCAACGCCGCGUGAGGGAAGAAGGUUUUCGGAUCGUAAAACUCUGUUGUUAGAGAAGAACAAGGAUGAGAGUAGAACGUUCAUCCCUUGACGGUAUCUAACCAGAAAGCCACGGCUAACUACGUGCCAGCAGCCGCCGCCG
Molecule: ribosomal RNA, 523 nt
Filed under: uncultured bacterium
Lineage: Bacteria
Description: partial 16S ribosomal RNA
Rfam family: Bacterial small subunit ribosomal RNA
Source: RNAcentral